Silurus meridionalis is the source of this 1152-nucleotide long non-coding RNA. RefSeq lists it as uncharacterized. The record is from RefSeq and is a predicted model, not a curated record. The transcript is spliced from 4 exons. NCBI's taxonomy places the organism in Eukaryota, Metazoa, Chordata, Actinopteri, Siluriformes, Siluridae.
CAAAACCCUAGAUGCCGUAAAUGAUCCUUGAUUGUCGUGAUAAUGGGUUUGCAGCGGUCGGGAGCAACAGGAAUACGGCACGAGAUAGGAGCGUUGUAUGUCUGAUACACCUGGACCGGAAGUUGGAGACUCUGGAGCGCGUGCUUCCGUUUAAUGGGAAAUUGAGUGGUUCAGGAGGAGUGUUCACGUGCCCCGAGUUUCAGAUUUUCUUCGGGGCUCUCAGACAGCGAACUUCACACUCCUCCUUCGUGUCAAACCUGUUCCCAUUGCCCCCGCAGCCUCCGUACCAGAAACGGCUGCACUCUUCCUUCGACGUGUCGUAAUGCCACUUCAGCAUGAAGUUGAAGCAUGUGCCCAUGUCCUCAGCGAGCUGGCAAACAUCUGAACAGAUAAUGUGUGUUCAUAUUAGAGACCGAGGUGUGUCCUGGGAGUCACAGAAAAUACAGAUUAACAUGGCAGAGGUAGAGCUGCAUCUUCCUGGAAACUGUACAGGAAAAGGUGGUCUGGUUCUGUUUCUUGUUGCUGUUUUAUAAUAUAAUUUAUUAUUAACAAUAAAAAUGUCAGAAGGCACUUAGGUAAAUUGAUGAUUUUUGUCUGUCGGAAACAAAGAAAUAAAAUAACUAUUUGUACCAUAUUGAAUUGCAAAGCAUCCUAUUUUAUCGCGUUGAAUCAAAUCAAAGUUGGCUCGCACUGCAUCACAAUAGGGCUGCAUUGUAGCGCAUCGCAUUAGAAGCUGAUUCAUAAAUGACUUUAACGUAUAGUAUCAGUGGCUAUGUAUCUAGAUGAGAAUUGCAUCGGCUUUAGUAACAGAUAUGGAAAUCCCUAGUUCAUAUUAAGAAAAAAAGGUGCUUGGUAGUGAAGGCAUUGGACUGGAUCUGAAGGUCGGGAAUUAAAAUGUCAGCCACAGCAAGCUGGGCCCCUGAGCAAGGCCCUUUACCCCGUAGCUGCUCAUUCAUCUGAUAUUCCCUUAUAAAAAUUGUUCUGCAGAAUAGGUCUGUGUCAGAGGGUGCCAAGCAAAAAUUUAAUAAAAGAAAUAACAAAAGAAGAAAAAAUCUGGUCUGAAUGAAUUUUGUGUAGUUGAUGAAACUGAAGAUGAAAAAUAUUCCCCAAAAGACUUUUCCUUUCUCCUUAUGAAAACUAAACAAUAGUUAC